This 497-nucleotide ribosomal RNA is filed under the name uncultured bacterium. RNAcentral describes it as "partial 16S ribosomal RNA". It matches the Rfam family "Bacterial small subunit ribosomal RNA", at positions 28 to 507 of the family's 1533-position model. The record is from RNAcentral.
GACGAACGCUGGCGGCGUGCCUAAUACAUGCAAGUUGAGCGAUGAAGCUUGGUGCUUGCCCCAAUUUGAAGAGCAGCGAACGGGUGAGUAACGCGUGUGGACUCUGCCUUUGAGCGGGGGACAACAUUUGGAAACGAAUGCUAAUACCGCAUAAUAACUUUAAACAUAAGUUUUAAGUUUGAAAGAUGCAAUUGCAUCACUCAAAGAUGAUCCCGCGUUGUAUUAGCUAGUUGGUGAGGUACAGGCGCACCAAGGCGAUGAUACAUAGCCGACCUGAGAGGGUGAUCGGCCGCAGUGGGACUGAGACACGGCCCAAACUCCUAGGGGAGGCAGCAGUAGGGAAUCGUCGGCAAUGGACGAAAGUCUGAGCGAGCAACGCCGCGUGAGUGAAGAAGGUUUUCGGAUCGUAAAACUCUGUUGGUAGGGAAGAAAGUGGGUGAGAGUGGAAAGCUCAUCAAGUGACGGUAACUACCCAGAAAGCGACGGCUAACUACGUG